This 368-nucleotide ribosomal RNA is filed under the name uncultured organism. RNAcentral's name for it is "bacterial SSU rRNA". It matches the Rfam family "Bacterial small subunit ribosomal RNA", at positions 526 to 896 of the family's 1533-position model. The record is from RNAcentral.
CGUAGGUGGCAAGCGUUGUCCGGAUUUAUUGGGUUUAAAGGGUGCGUAGGCGGCCCUGUAAGUCAGUGGUGAAAUAUCUCAGCUUAACUGAGAGGGUGCCAUUGAUACUGCGGGGCUUGAGUACAGAUGAGGUAGGCGGAAUUGACGGUGUAGCGGUGAAAUGCAUAGAUAUCGUCAAGAACACCGAUAGCGAAGGCAGCUUACCAAGCUGUAACUGACGCUGAGGCACGAAAGCGUGGGGAUCAAACAGGAUUAGAUACCCUGGUAGUCCACACUGUAAACGUUGAUGACUCGAUGUUGGCGAUACACAGCCAGCGUCCAAGAGCAAUCGUUAAGUCAUCCACCUGGGGAGUACGCCGGCAACGGUG